CCCUUAGAUGUUCUGGGCCGCACACGCGCUACACUGAAGGAGGCAGCGUGUACUCCUGGAUCGAAAGAUUUGGGUAACCCGCGAAUCUCCUUCGUGCUAGGGAUUGAGGUUUGCAAUUAUCCUUCAUGAACGAGGAAUUCCCAGUAAGUGCAAGUCAUAAGCUUGCGCUGACUACGUCCCUGCCCUUUGUACACACCGCCCGUCGCUACUACCGAUUGAAUGAUUUAGUGAGGACUUCGGACUGGGACCGAUGCGGCUUUCGGGCUGCGUCGGUAUUCUGGAAAGAUGUCCAAACUGUAUCAUUUAGAGGAAGUAAANGUCGUNACA
RNAcentral lists this ribosomal RNA (327 nucleotides) under uncultured eukaryote. RNAcentral describes it as "partial 18S ribosomal RNA". It matches the Rfam family "Eukaryotic small subunit ribosomal RNA", at positions 1470 to 1796 of the family's 1831-position model. The record is from RNAcentral.